GGUUAAGCGACUAAGCGUACACGGUGGAUGCCCUGGCAGUCAGAGGCGAUGAAGGACGUGCUAAUCUGCGAAAAGCGUCGGUAAGGUGAUAUGAACCGUUACAGCCGGCGAUGUCCGAAUGGGGAAACCCAGUGUGAUUCGUCACACUAUCGUUAACUGAAUACAUAGGUUAACGAGGCGAACCGGGGGAACUGAAACAUCUAAGUACCCCGAGGAAAAGAAAUCAACCGAGAUUCCCCCAGUAGCGGCGAGCGAACGGGGAGCAGCCCAGAGUCUGAAUCAGCUUGUGUGUUAGUGGAACGGUCUGGAAAGUCCGACGGUACAGGGUGAUAGUCCCGUACACCAAAAUGCACAGGCUGUGAACUCGAAGAGUAGGGCGGGACACGUGGUAUCCUGUCUGAAUAUGGGGGGACCAUCCUCCAAGGCUAAAUACUCCUGACUGACCGAUAGUGAACCAGUACCGUGAGGGAAAGGCGAAAAGAACCCCGGCGAGGGGAGUGAAAAAGAACCUGAAACCGUGUACGUACAAGCAGUGGGAGCACCUUCGGGUGUGACUGCGUACCUUUUGUAUAAUGGGUCAGCGACUUAUAUUCUGUAGCAAGGUUAACCGUAUAGGGGAGCCGCAGGGAAACCGAGUCUUAACUGGGCGUUAAGUUGCAGGGUAUAGACCCGAAACCCGGUGAUCUAGCCAUGGGCAGGUUGAAGGUUGGGUAACACUAACUGGAGGACCGAACCGACUAAUGUUGAAAAAUUAGCGGAUGACUUGUGGCUGGGGGUGAAAGGCCAAUCAAACCGGGAGAUAGCUGGUUCUCCCCGAAAGCUAUUUAGGUAGCGCCUCGUGAACUCAUCUUCGGGGGUAGAGCACUGUUUCGGCUAGGGGGUCAUCCCGACUUACCAACCCGAUGCAAACUACGAAUACCGAAGAAUGUUAUCACGGGAGACACACGGCGGGUGCUAACGUCCGUCGUGAAGAGGGAAACAACCCAGACCGCCAGCUAAGGUCCCAAAGUCAUGGUUAAGUGGGAAACGAUGUGGGAAGGCACAGACAGCCAGGAUGUUGGCUUAGAAGCAGCCAUCAUUUAAAGAAAGCGUAAUAGCUCACUGGUCGAGUCGGCCUGCGCGGAAGAUGUAACGGGGCUAAACCAUGCACCGAAGCUGCGGCAGCGACACUAUGUGUUGUUGGGUAGGGGAGCGUUCUGUAAGCCUGCGAAGGUGUGCUGUGAGGCAUGCUGGAGGUAUCAGAAGUGCGAAUGCUGACAUAAGUAACGAUAAAGCGGGUGAAAAGCCCGCUCGCCGGAAGACCAAGGGUUCCUGUCCAACGUUAAUCGGGGCAGGGUGAGUCGACCCCUAAGGCGAGGCCGAAAGGCGUAGUCGAUGGGAAACAGGUUAAUAUUCCUGUACUUGGUGUUACUGCGAAGGGGGGACGGAGAAGGCUAUGUUAGCCGGGCGACGGUUGUCCCGGUUUAAGCAUGUAGGCUGGUUGUCCAGGCAAAUCCGGAUAAUCAAGGCUGAGGUGUGAUGACGAGGCACUACGGUGCUGAAGUAACAAAUGCCCUGCUUCCAGGAAAAGCCUCUAAGCAUCAGGUAACAUCAAAUCGUACCCCAAACCGACACAGGUGGUCAGGUAGAGAAUACCAAGGCGCUUGAGAGAACUCGGGUGAAGGAACUAGGCAAAAUGGUGCCGUAACUUCGGGAGAAGGCACGCUGGUGUGUAGGUGAAGUCCCUGCGGAUGGAGCUGAGACCAGUCGAAGAUACCAGCUGGCUGCAACUGUUUAUUAAAAACACAGCACUGUGCAAACACGAAAGUGGACGUAUACGGUGUGACGCCUGCCCGGUGCCGGAAGGUUAAUUGAUGGGGUUAUCCGUAAGGAGAAGCUCUUGAUCGAAGCCCCGGUAAACGGCGGCCGUAACUAUAACGGUCCUAAGGUAGCGAAAUUCCUUGUCGGGUAAGUUCCGACCUGCACGAAUGGCGUAAUGAUGGCCAGGCUGUCUCCACCCGAGACUCAGUGAAAUUGAACUCGCUGUGAAGAUGCAGUGUACCCGCGGCAAGACGGAAAGACCCCGUGAACCUUUACUAUAGCUUGACACUGAACAUUGAGCCUUGAUGUGUAGGAUAGGUGGGAGGCUUUGAAGCGUGGACGCCAGUCUGCGUGGAGCCAACCUUGAAAUACCACCCUUUAAUGUUUGAUGUUCUAACGUUGGCCCCUUACCGGGGUUGCGGACAGUGUCUGGUGGGUAGUUUGACUGGGGCGGUCUCCUCCCAAAGCGUAACGGAGGAGCACGAAGGUUAGCUAAUCCUGGUCGGACAUCAGGAGGUUAGUGCAAUGGCAUAAGCUAGCUUGACUGCGAGCGUGACGGCGCGAGCAGGUGCGAAAGCAGGUCAUAGUGAUCCGGUGGUUCUGAAUGGAAGGGCCAUCGCUCAACGGAUAAAAGGUACUCCGGGGAUAACAGGCUGAUACCGCCCAAGAGUUCAUAUCGACGGCGGUGUUUGGCACCUCGAUGUCGGCUCAUCACAUCCUGGGGCUGAAGUAGGUCCCAAGGGUAUGGCUGUUCGCCAUUUAAAGUGGUACGCGAGCUGGGUUUAGAACGUCGUGAGACAGUUCGGUCCCUAUCUGCCGUGGGCGCUGGAGAAUUGAGGGGGGCUGCUCCUAGUACGAGAGGACCGGAGUGGACGCAUCACUGGUGUUCGGGUUGUCAUGCCAAUGGCACUGCCCGGUAGCUAAAUGCGGAAGAGAUAAGUGCUGAAAGCAUCUAAGCACGAAACUUGCCCCGAGAUGAGUUCUCCCUGAGACUUUAAGUCUCCUGAAGGAACGUUAAAGACGAUGACGUUGAUAGGCCGGGUGUGUAAGCGCAGCGAUGCGUUGAGCUAACCGGUACUAAUGAACCGUGAGGCUUAACCUU
Molecule: ribosomal RNA, 2902 nt
Filed under: Klebsiella pneumoniae
Lineage: Bacteria; Pseudomonadati; Pseudomonadota; Gammaproteobacteria; Enterobacterales; Enterobacteriaceae
Description: 23S ribosomal RNA
Rfam family: Bacterial large subunit ribosomal RNA
Source: RNAcentral